AGUGAACGCUGGCGGUAGGCCUAACACAUGCAAGUCGAACGGCAGCACAGUGAGAGCUUGCUCUUACGGGUGGCGAGUGGCGGACGGGUGAGGAAUACAUCGGAAUCUACUUUUUCGUGGGGGAUAACGUAGGGAAACUUACGCUAAUACCGCAUACGACCUACGGGUGAAAGCAGGGGAUCUUCGGACCUUGCGCGAUUGAAUGAGCCGAUGUCGGAUUAGCUAGUUGGCGGGGUAAAGGCCCACCAAGGCGACGAUCCGUAGCUGGUCUGAGAGGAUGAUCAGCCACACUGGAGCUGAGACACGGUCCAGACUCCUACGAGAGGCAGCAGUGGGGAAUAUUGGACAAUGGGCGCGAGCCUGAUCCAGCCAUACCGCGUGGGUGAAGAAGGCCUUCGGGUUGUAAAGCCCUUUUGUUGGGAAAGAAAAGCAGCAGGUUAAUACCCCGCUGUUCUGACGGUACCCAAAGAAUAAGCACCGGCUAACUUCGUG
This 492-nucleotide ribosomal RNA is filed under the name uncultured bacterium. Its description in RNAcentral is "partial 16S ribosomal RNA". It matches the Rfam family "Bacterial small subunit ribosomal RNA", at positions 29 to 507 of the family's 1533-position model. The record is from RNAcentral.